This 484-nucleotide ribosomal RNA is filed under the name uncultured soil bacterium. RNAcentral's name for it is "bacterial SSU rRNA". It matches the Rfam family "Bacterial small subunit ribosomal RNA", at positions 26 to 518 of the family's 1533-position model. The record is from RNAcentral.
AGGAUGAACGCUGGCGGCGUGCUUAACACAUGCAAGUCGAACGAUGAUGCCUACUUGUGGGUGGAUUAGUGGCGAACGGGUGAGUAACACGUGAGUAACCUGCCCUUGACUCUGGGAUAAGCCUGGGAAACCGGGUCUAAUACUGGAUACGACCUUCCCGCGCAUGCGGUGUUGGUGGAAAGCUUUAUUGUGGUUUUGGAUGGACUCGCGGCCUAUCAGCUUGUUGGUGGGGUAAUGGCCUACCAAGGCGACGACGGGUAGCCGGCCUGAGAGGGUGACCGGCCACACUGGGACUGAGACACGGCCCAGACUCCUACGGGAGGCAGCAGUGGGGAAUAUUGCACAAUGGGCGCAAGCCUGAUGCAGCGACGCCGCGUGAGGGAUGAAGGCCUUACGGGUUGUAAACCUCUUUCAGUUAGGAAGUAAGCGAAAGUGACGGUACCUGCAGAAGAAGCGCCGGCUAACUACGUGACCAGCGAGCCGC